This is a non-coding RNA of Chiloscyllium plagiosum (whitespotted bambooshark), 636 nucleotides long. NCBI's taxonomy places the organism in Eukaryota, Metazoa, Chordata, Chondrichthyes, Orectolobiformes, Hemiscylliidae. The record is from the annotation of a RefSeq genome assembly.
CUGGACUGAAGAAAUGACAAGGCAGUGAGAACCAUGAAGAACUGCCUUUCUCGAUUCCUCAUCAUUGUCUCACUUCUCAAAUACAGUUACGAAGACACGGUGGAGCAGCCAAUUCCUGAAAUGACGGUUGAGGAAGGAAAUAAUGUCACAAUCACCUGCAAUUUGAAGACAACUACUACUAAUCCUUAUGUUUACUGGUACAGUCAGCCCCCAGGGCAGCCUCCACAUUACGUCGUUUACAUGCUUGCAGCUGGAAUGGUAAACAGGAAUCCUGACUUCUCUGAUCGUUUUUCUUUGACAUUUGAUAAAACUACGAAGAUUACCGAGUUAGCGAUCAGUAAUGCCUUCAACACUGACUCUGCUGUGUAUUUCUGUGCCAUGAACCCCACACUGGCGCAGACAGAUAGCAGAGCACGUCAAAAACCCACUUUCAGUGUUCCCGUUAGAGCUCACGAGAAGGCAGUCUCACGGCGAGGAACAGAAACAAUUCUUGAAGUGACAACAGAUCUCAAUAAUAAAGUAGUGUUCCAUUUUCAGAUUUCUAUCAGUCUGAAAAUUCGGGAUGCAAAUAUGGUGGGAAUAAAACUUAACAUCGAGCUGUGCAAUUUUGUUUCCUGUUACUUUUCCAAUCAAUGA